UGCGUAGGCGGAUUAAUAAGUCAGUGGUGAAAACCUGCAGCUUAACUGUAGAACUGCCAUUGAUACUGUUAGUCUUGAGUACGGUCAAGGUAGGCGGAAUGUGUAAUGUAGCGGUGAAAUGCUUAGAUAUUACACAGAACACCGAUUGCGAAGGCAGCUUACUGGACCAUUACUGACGCUGAGGCACGAAAGCGUGGGGGACUAACAGGAUUAGAUACCCUGGUAGUCC
RNAcentral lists this ribosomal RNA (229 nucleotides) under uncultured bacterium. RNAcentral's name for it is "partial 16S ribosomal RNA". It matches the Rfam family "Bacterial small subunit ribosomal RNA", at positions 568 to 796 of the family's 1533-position model. The record is from RNAcentral.